AUUAAGUGCCCCGCCUGGGGAGUACGAUCGCAAGAUUAAAACUCAAAGGAAUUGACGGGGCCCCGCACAAGCAGCGGAGCAUGCGGCUUAAUUCGACGCAACGCGAAGAACCUUACCAAGGCUUGACAUAUAGGGAAAAGUGGCAGAGAUGUCAUGUCCGCAAGGGCCCUAUACAGGUGGUGCAUGGUUGUCGUCAGCUCGUGUCGUGAGAUGUUGGGUUAAGUCCCGCAACGAGCGCAACCCUCGUUCUGUGUUGCCAGCAUUUAGUUGGGGACUCACAGGAGACUGCCGGGGUUAACUCGGAGGAAGGUGGGGAUGACGUCAAAUCAUCAUGCCCCUUAUGUCUUGGGCUGCACGCAUGCUACAAUGGCCGGUACAGAGGGCUGCAAUACCGUAAGGUGGAGCGAAUUCCAAAAAGCCGGUCUCAGUUCGGAUUGAGGUCUGCAACUCGACCUCAUGAAGUUGGAGUUGCUAGUAAUCGUAGAUCAGCAACGCUACGGUGAAUACGUUCCCGGGGCUUGUACACACCGCCCGUCAC
This 538-nucleotide ribosomal RNA is filed under the name uncultured Actinomycetes bacterium. RNAcentral's name for it is "bacterial SSU rRNA". It matches the Rfam family "Bacterial small subunit ribosomal RNA", at positions 859 to 1400 of the family's 1533-position model. Lineage: Bacteria; Bacillati; Actinomycetota; Actinomycetes. The record is from RNAcentral.